ACCCGCUGAACUUAAGCAUAUCAAUAAGCGGAGGAAAAGAAACCAACAGGGAUUGCCCUAGUAACGGCGAGUGAAGCGGCAACAGCUCAAAUUUGAAAUCUGGCUCUUUCAGAGUCCGAGUUGUAAUUUGCAGAGGGCGCUUUGGCGUUGGCAGCGGUCCAAGUUCUUUGGAACAGGACGUCACAGAGGGUGAGAAUCCCGUACGUGGUCGCUAGCCUUCGCCGUGUAAAGCCCCUUCGACGAGUCGAGUUGUUUGGGAAUGCAGCUCUAAAUGGGAGGUAAAUUUCUUCUAAAGCUAAAUACUGGCCAGAGACCGAUAGCGCACAAGUAGAGUGAUCGAAAGAUGAAAAGCACUUUGGAAAGAGAGUCAAAUAGCACGUGAAAUUGUUGAAAGGGAAGCGCUUGCAGCCAGACUUGCCUGUAGUUGCUUAUCCGGACUUUUGUCCGGUGCACUCUUCUGCGGGCAGGCCAGCAUCAGUUUGGGCGGUUGGAUAAAGGUCUCUGUCAUGUACCUCUCUUCGGGGAGGCCUUAUAGGGGAGACGACAUGCAACCAGCCUGGACUGAGGUCCGCGCAUCUGCUAGGAUGCUGGCGUAAUGGCUGU
RNAcentral lists this ribosomal RNA (603 nucleotides) under uncultured fungus. Its description in RNAcentral is "eukaryotic LSU rRNA". It matches the Rfam family "Eukaryotic large subunit ribosomal RNA", at positions 23 to 641 of the family's 3401-position model. Lineage: Eukaryota; Fungi. The record is from RNAcentral.